This 462-nucleotide ribosomal RNA is filed under the name uncultured bacterium. Its description in RNAcentral is "partial 16S ribosomal RNA". It matches the Rfam family "Bacterial small subunit ribosomal RNA", at positions 29 to 507 of the family's 1533-position model. The record is from RNAcentral.
ACGAACGCUGGCGGCGUGCUUAACACAUGCAAGUCGAACGGAAAGGCCCUGCUUUUGUGGGGUGCUCGAGUGGCGAACGGGUGAGUAACACGUGAGUAACCUGCCCUUGACUUUGGGAUAACUUCAGGAAACUGGGGCUAAUAACGGAUAGGAGCUCCUGCUGCAUGGUGGGGGUUGGAAAGUUUCGGCGGUUGGGGAUGGACUCGCGGCUUAUCAGCUUGUUGGUGGGGUAGUGGCUUACCAAGGCUUUGACGGGUAGCCGGCCUGAGAGGGUGACCGGUCGCAUUGGGAAUGAGACCCGGCCUAGACUGCUACGGGGGGCAGCAGUCGGGUAUUUUGCGCAAGGAGGGAUACCCUGACGCAGCCACGCCGCGUGAGAGAUGAAUGGCUUCGGAUUGUAAUCUUCUUUUUUCCGGGACGAUAAUGACGGUACCUGGCGAAGAAGCACCGGCUAACUACGUG